GAUGAACGCUGGCGGCGUGCUUAACACAUGCAAGUCGAACGGAAAGGCUCCUGCUUGCAGGGGUACUCGAGUGGCGAACGGGUGAGUAACACGUGGGUGAUCUGCCCUGCACUUCGGGAUAAGCCUGGGAAACUGGGUCUAAUACCGGAUAGGACGAUCGGUUGGAUGCCAUUGUGGAAAGUUUUUCGGUGGGGGAUGAGCUCGCGGCCUAUCAGCUUGUUGGUGGGGUAGUGGCCUACCAAGGCGUCGACGGGUAGCCGGCCUGAGAGGGUGUACGGCCACAUUGGGACUGAGAUACGGCCCAGACUCCUACGGGAGGCAGCAGUGGGGAAUAUUGCACAAUGGGCGCAAGCCUGAUGCAGCGACGCCGCGUGGGGGAUGACGGCCUUCGGGUUGUAAACUCCUUUCGCCAGGGACGAAGCGCAAGUGACGGUACCUGGAGAAGAAGCACCGGCUAACUACGUG
This 465-nucleotide ribosomal RNA is filed under the name uncultured bacterium. RNAcentral's name for it is "partial 16S ribosomal RNA". It matches the Rfam family "Bacterial small subunit ribosomal RNA", at positions 28 to 507 of the family's 1533-position model. The record is from RNAcentral.